Schizosaccharomyces pombe (fission yeast) is the source of this 318-nucleotide non-coding RNA. NCBI's taxonomy places the organism in Eukaryota, Fungi, Ascomycota, Schizosaccharomycetes, Schizosaccharomycetales, Schizosaccharomycetaceae. The record is from the annotation of a GenBank genome assembly.
GUAAAUAAUUACCAGAAUUGUCACAUUUAAAAGCACCGAAAGAAUCCUCAUUGCUAAUUUGAAUACUGUAUUACGAUUAUGCAAACAAUUGAAGAGAAGGGACACCAACGCUCGUUUUUUCAAUAUUAUUAUGUAAAAGGAAAACUAAACGAUUUUUGAUUAGACAGUCUCUCCCAUCUCAUUCCUCGACCACUUUUUAGCUCACAUGCUUUUACCUACAGAAAAGCAGAUAAGACAUCUGCAACUCAUCAGCACUCCUACAUUCGAAAAUUAUCCACCCAUUCAAUAAGGUCGUUUUUUGUACUUCCGCUGUAAUGA